ACGGGUGAGUAACACGUAUCCAACCUGCCGUCUACUCUUGGCCAGCCUUCUGAAAGGAAGAUUAAUCCAGGAUGGCAUCAUGAGUUCACAUGUCCGCAUGAUUAAAGGUAUUUUCCGGUAGACGAUGGGGAUGCGUUCCAUUAGAUAGUUGGUGAGGUAACGGCUCACCAAACCUUCGAUGGAUAGGGGUUCUGAGAGGAAGGUCCCCCACAUUGGAACUGAGACACGGUCCAA
RNAcentral lists this ribosomal RNA (234 nucleotides) under uncultured bacterium. RNAcentral's name for it is "partial 16S ribosomal RNA". It matches the Rfam family "Bacterial small subunit ribosomal RNA", at positions 102 to 334 of the family's 1533-position model. The record is from RNAcentral.